RNAcentral lists this ribosomal RNA (792 nucleotides) under uncultured bacterium. Its description in RNAcentral is "bacterial SSU rRNA". It matches the Rfam family "Bacterial small subunit ribosomal RNA", at positions 8 to 796 of the family's 1533-position model. The record is from RNAcentral.
AGAGUUUGAUCAUGGCUCAGGAUGAACGCUAGCGGCAGGCCUAAUACAUGCAAGUCGAACGGUAAGUAGUGUAGCAAUACAUUACCAAGAGUGACGUACGGGUGCGUAACACGUAUGCAACCUACCCUUUACAGGCGGAUAGCUCGGGGAAACCCGAAUUAACCCGCCGUGGUAUAAUUGAGUGGCAUCACUUAAUUAUUAAAACUCCGGUGGUAAAGGAUGGGCAUGCGUCUGAUUAGUUAGUUGGCGGUGUAACGGACCACCAAGACGAUGAUCAGUAGGGGAACUGAGAGGUUGAUCCCCCACACUGGCACUGAGAUACGGGCCAGACUCCUACGGGAGGCAGCAGUAGGGAAUAUUGGUCAAUGGAUGCAAGUCUGAACCAGCCAUGCCGCGUGCAGGAAGAAGGCCUUCUGGGUUGUAAACUGCUUUUGCCAGGGGAUAAAAUGGGCAUGCGUGCCUAAUUGAAGGUACCUGGUGAAUAAGCCACGGCUAACUACGUGCCAGCAGCCGCGGUAAUACGUAGGUGGCAAGCGUUGUCCGGAUUUAUUGGGUUUAAAGGGUGCGUAGGCGGUCUUUUAAGUCAGUGCUGAAAUACUCCAGCUUAACUGGAGGGGUGGCAUUGAUACUGGAAGACUUGAGUGUAGUCGAGGUAGGCGGAAUUGACGGUGUAGCGGUGAAAUGCUUAGAUAUCGUCAAGAACACCGAUAGUGAAGACAGCUUACUAGACUGUAACUGACGCUGAGGCACGAAAGUGUGGGGAUCAAACAGGAUUAGAUACCCUAGUAGUCC